Molecule: ribosomal RNA, 371 nt
Filed under: uncultured organism
Description: bacterial SSU rRNA
Rfam family: Bacterial small subunit ribosomal RNA
Source: RNAcentral
CGUAGGGUGCGAGCGUUAAUCGGAAUUACUGGGCGUAAAGCGUGCGCAGGCGGUUCGACAAGUCUGAUGUGAAAUCCCCGGGCUCAACCUGGGAACUGCGUUGGAACUGUCGGGCUAGAGUGUAGAAGAGGGGGGUAGAAUUCCACGUGUAGCAGUGAAAUGCGUAGAGAUGUGGAGGAAUACCGAUGGCGAAGGCAGCCCCCUGGGCUAACACUGACGCUCAUGCACGAAAGCGUGGGGAGCAAACAGGAUUAGAUACCCUGGUAGUCCACGCCCUAAACGAUGUCUACUAGUUGUUGGUGGAGUAAAAUCCAUUAGUAACGCAGCUAACGCGUGAAGUAGACCGCCUGGGGAGUACGGUCGCAAGAUUA